Molecule: ribosomal RNA, 532 nt
Filed under: uncultured bacterium
Lineage: Bacteria
Description: bacterial SSU rRNA
Rfam family: Bacterial small subunit ribosomal RNA
Source: RNAcentral
UAAUAGACUACCCGUGGUAGUCCACGCCCUAAACGAUGCGAACUGGAUGUUGGGUACAUUACGGUACUCAGUGUCGAAGCUAACGCGUUAAGUUCGCCGCCUGGGGAGUACGGUCGCAAGACUGAAACUCAAAGGAAUUGACGGGGGCCCGCACAAGCGGUGGAGUAUGUGGUUUAAUUCGAUGCAACGCGAAGAACCUUACCUGGCCUUGACAUCUGUCGAAUCCUGCAGAGAUGCGGGAGUGCCGCAAGGAACGACAAGACAGGUGCUGCAUGGCUGUCGUCAGCUCGUGUCGUGAGAUGUUGGGUUAAGUCCCGCAACGAGCGCAACCCUUGUCCCUAGUUGCCAGCACGUAAUGGUGGGAACUCUAGGGAGACUGCCGGUGACAAACCGGAGGAAGGUGGGGAUGACGUCAAGUCCUCAUGGCCCUUACGGCCAGGGCUACACACGUACUACAAUGGUCGGUACAGAGGGUUGCGAAGCCGCGAGGUGGAGCCAAUCCCAGAAAACCGAUCCCAGUCCGGAUCGGAGU